AUUGAACGCUGGCGGAAUGCUUUACACAUGCAAGUCGAACGGCAGCACGGACUUCGGUCUGGUGGCAAGUGGCGAACGGGUGAGUAAUAUAUCGGAACGUGCCCAGUCGUGGGGGAUAACGUAGUGAAAAUUACGCUAAUACCGCAUACGAUCUAUGGAUGAAAGCGGGGGAUCGCAAGACCUCGCGCGAUUGGAGCGGCCGAUAUCAGAUUAGGUAGUUGGUGAGGUAAAGGCUCACCAAGCCGACGAUCUGUAGCUGGUCUGAGAGGACGACCAGCCAGACUGGAACUGAGACACGGUCCAGACUCCUACGGGAGGCAGCAGUGGGGAAUUUUGGACAAUGGACGCAAGUCUGAUCCAGCCAUUCCGCGUGCAGGACGAAGGCCUUCGGGUUGUAAACUGCUUUUGUACAGAACGAAAAGGUCUCUAUUAAUACUAGGGGCUCAUGACGGUACUGUAAGAAUAAGCACCGGCUAACUACGUGCCAGCCGCCGCCGUAA
RNAcentral lists this ribosomal RNA (500 nucleotides) under uncultured bacterium. RNAcentral's name for it is "partial 16S ribosomal RNA". It matches the Rfam family "Bacterial small subunit ribosomal RNA", at positions 30 to 523 of the family's 1533-position model. The record is from RNAcentral.